ACAUGGCUGCUACGCAGAAACCUGUUUGGUAACAGUCAUAGUACAAUUGAAAGCAAUAAACUUGCUUAGCUGAAAGACAAGAUUUCAUUAGAUAAUAAAGACCUCAGUUGACUGACAGUUUCUUUUACAAGUAGUGCAGCUUGGUACUGUACAGGGUCCUCCACACAUCUCUGCUAUGCCCCUGUUUUGGACUUCUGGAAAAACUAACACUGCCAUUAUUUGGGGCAGAGGGAAGGCUGACAAAAUUAAAUUAAUGCUAUUGCUUCAUCUCAAGAAGCCUACUCUUGACCCCAACACACUUAACAACGUCUCUCCUACAACCAAUCAACUCUUGCGCUAUGAUCUUCAAUAAUUAACUUUCUAGACUGCAGUGACACAGUUGUUAUUACUGAAAACAAAAACCUUGAAAACGAUGCUGGUAUGUAUAUUAUAGCUCUCUCCUCACCUAUCAUUACUCUUGUAAUGUAAAUAUAUUUUAAAAGAGUAAUUAAAAUCUCUUUAACUGCUCUUUCUUUGCCUCUAAGGAUGGCAUAAAGCUAGCUGAGGCCUUAAUUCUUUCUGAUGCCGCAACACUUCUUAAACAUUUAGGCGACAGGAAAUAAAUCUUGCCGCCAAAGAACGAUGUACCCACCGCUGAAAUGCCGCUGAAGACCAUUAGCAACUGAAAGACCCGCUGCCGAAAUGCCGCCAAAGACCUGGGGAGGUUACAGUAUAUGAAGAUGUGGACAGUGCACACCCCUUAAAAGUUACAUCAAAGAGAAAAAGACUCUUCACAAACUUU
Mauremys mutica (yellowpond turtle) is the source of this 781-nucleotide long non-coding RNA. RefSeq lists it as uncharacterized. The record is from RefSeq and is a predicted model, not a curated record. Lineage: Eukaryota; Metazoa; Chordata; Testudines; Geoemydidae. The transcript is spliced from 2 exons.